This is an RNA transcript of Brassica napus (rape), 1331 nucleotides long. It is a transcript of the gene named endonuclease V, with no coding region annotated. The record is from RefSeq and is a predicted model, not a curated record. The transcript is spliced from 9 exons. NCBI's taxonomy places the organism in Eukaryota, Viridiplantae, Streptophyta, Magnoliopsida, Brassicales, Brassicaceae.
UAACAUUUUAUAAUAUUUUUGAUAUUCAGGUAUUAUUUGGUUUUGGGUUGGAUUUGGUUUGAUUUUUAGUGUUUUGGAAAUAAAAAACGAGAAACCAGCGACUGAACAUUGGGCAAAAUGUAGGUUCGGUUUCGAUUUAGAAAUUAGUCGGUUAAGUCGGUUCGAUUUUUCGAAUUUCGGGUAAAAUUGAGUUAGCUGAGUCGUCUCCACAUCGCCGGAAAUGGACGGAGAAGGAGCCUCAGGCGAGUCUUCGUCUUCAAAUCAGCUAGAGAAUUGGACAGAAGAACAGGAUCGGCUGAAGAAAAAACUGAUCACGCACGAUGACUUCCCAUGGAAGUUACCAUCAUCAACGGAACAUCCUCAGAGAUCAGAGACACUUAAGUACGUUGGAGGUGUGGACAUAAGCUUCUCCAAGGACGAUUCUUCAGUGGCGUGCGCUUGUCUCGUUGUCCUCGAGCUACCUUCUCUCCGUGUAGUUCACAAUGAGCUCUCUCUAAUCCGCCUCCAAGUUCCUUAUGUUCCUGGGUUUCUCGCCUUUCGUGAGGCUCCGGUUCUGUUGCAGAUUCUUGAGAAGAUGAGGGAUGAUCAUCAUCCUUUCUAUCCUCAGGUACUGAUGGUUGAUGGGAAUGGGAUUCUUCAUCCACGAGGAUUUGGCUUGGCGUGUCAUUUAGGUGUUCUUGCUCAUCUUCCGACCAUUGGUGUCGGAAAGAACCUGCAUCAUGUGGAUGGCCUGGACCAGUCUGAGGUUAGACAGUUGUUUCAGCACAAAGAAAAUGAGAAUGAGCAAGUUAUCAAGUUGGUGGGGAAGUCUGGUUUCACGUGGGGAGUAGGGUUUAGGCCAACUCUGAGUACUCUGAAGCCUAUAUACGUUUCGGUUGGCCAUCGCAUAUCACUUGACACUGCGGUUGAGGUUGUCAAGAUGACCUGCAUGUACCGCGUACCUGAACCUAUUAGACAGAUAUAAGAUCAAGAGCAUAUCUUCAAAAGCACCAACUUCGUCUCUUAAAAGAUUUGGGACCACUCGGAAUGGACUGAACAUUAGUCAUUAAAACAACCAAAGAAGGCUGUGAACACUUUUCCACAUUAAAGAUCAUUCUGCAAUUUCUUUACAGAGGAGCUCCACACAAGUUUUUCCUUUAUUUAUCUCAGUGACUCUAAACCAAGAUUAUUUCGAUUUAUCCACCGACUCUAACCAAGAUCAUUUAGAAGAGAUGAGUCUUGUUGUAUCAUGUUUGUGUCCAAUACAUUGUAUGUAUUAAGCUAUGUAAUAAUUUCCAUAUAGCCAUGUCACAUUUACUUAAAAUUUGAAAAUGAGAAUUAUGUUUAUAAAA